RNAcentral lists this ribosomal RNA (497 nucleotides) under uncultured bacterium. Its description in RNAcentral is "partial 16S ribosomal RNA". It matches the Rfam family "Bacterial small subunit ribosomal RNA", at positions 28 to 507 of the family's 1533-position model. The record is from RNAcentral.
GAUGAACGCUGGCGGCGUGCCUAAUACAUGCAAGUCGAGCGAACGGACGAGAAGCUUGCUUCUCUGAUGUUAGCGGCGGACGGGUGAGUAACACGUGGAUAACCUACCUAUAAGACUGGGAUAACUUCGGGAAACCGGAGCUAAUACCGGAUGAUAUUUUGAACCGCAUGGUUCAAAAGUGAAAGACGGUCUUGCUGUCACUUAUAGAUGGAUCCGCGCUGCAUUAGCUAGUUGGUAAGGUAACGGCUUACCAAGGCAACGAUGCAUAGCCGACCUGAGAGGGGGAUUCGGCCACCCGGAACCGAGAACAGGUCCAGACCCCUAAGGGAGGCCGGAGGAGGGAAUCCUUCGGAAUGGGCGAAAGGCCUACGGAGCAAACGCGGGUGAGGUAUGAAGGUUCUCCGAUCCGAAAAACUCUGUAUUAGGGAAGAACAUAUGUGUAAGUAACUGUGCACAUCUUGACGGUACCUAAUCAGAAAGCCACGGCUAACUACGUG